This 256-nucleotide ribosomal RNA is filed under the name uncultured bacterium. RNAcentral describes it as "partial small subunit ribosomal RNA". It matches the Rfam family "Bacterial small subunit ribosomal RNA", at positions 26 to 285 of the family's 1533-position model. The record is from RNAcentral.
AGGAUUAACGCUGGCGGCGUGCCUAACACAUGCAAGUCGAACGGUGAAGCCCUUCGGGGUGGAUCAGUGGCGAACGGGUGAGUAACACGUGGGCAAUCUGCCCUGCAUUCUGGGACAAGCCUUGGAAACGAGGUCUAAUACCGGAUACGACGCAUCUCCGCAUGGGGUGUGCGUGGAAAGCUCCGGCGAUGCAGGAUGAGCCCGCGGCCUAUCAGCUUGUUGGUGGGGUAAUGGCCUACCAAGGCGACGACGGGUA